UAGGGAAUCUUCGGCAAUGGGGGGAACCCUGACAGAGCAACGCCGCGUGAGUGAAGAAGGUUUUCGGAUCGUAAAGCUCUGUUGUUAAGGAAGAACGAGUGUGAGAAUGGAAAGUUCAUACUGUGACGGUACUUAACCAGAAAGGGACGGCUAACUACGUGCCAGCAGCCGCGGUAAUACGUAGGUCCCGAGCGUUGUCCGGAUUUAUUGGGCGUAAAGCGAGCGCAGGCGGUUAGAUAAGUCUGAAGUUAAAGGCAGUGGCUCAACCAUUGUAGGCUUUGGAAACUGUUUAACUUGAGUGCAGAAGGGGAGAGAGGAAUUCCAUGUGUAGCGGUGAAAUGCGUAGAUAGAUGGAGGAACACCGGUGGCGAAAGCGGCUCUCUGGUCUGUAACUGACGCGGAGGCUCGAAAGCGUGGGGAGCAAACAGG
Molecule: ribosomal RNA, 429 nt
Filed under: Bacteroidota bacterium
Lineage: Bacteria; Pseudomonadati; Bacteroidota
Description: Bacteroidetes bacterium partial 16S ribosomal RNA
Rfam family: Bacterial small subunit ribosomal RNA
Source: RNAcentral